RNAcentral lists this transfer RNA (77 nucleotides) under Anaerolineaceae bacterium. Its description in RNAcentral is "tRNA-Pro". It matches the Rfam family "tRNA". From Rfam's summary of the family: Transfer RNA (tRNA) molecules are approximately 80 nucleotides in length. Their secondary structure includes four short double-helical elements and three loops (D, anti-codon, and T loops). Lineage: Bacteria; Bacillati; Chloroflexota; Anaerolineae; Anaerolineales; Anaerolineaceae. The record is from RNAcentral.
CGGGGCGUAGCUCAGCUUGGUAGAGCGCUCGGUUUGGGUCCGAGAGGUCGUCAGUUCAAAUCUGGCCGCCCCGACCA